Long non-coding RNA from Falco peregrinus (peregrine falcon), 5026 nucleotides. RefSeq lists it as uncharacterized. The record is from RefSeq and is a predicted model, not a curated record. The transcript is spliced from 2 exons. NCBI's taxonomy places the organism in Eukaryota, Metazoa, Chordata, Aves, Falconiformes, Falconidae.
CUUGUUUAGGAAGAUGCUAACGCUGAGGCCGGGCAAAAACGAAACACCUAUUUCCUUCAUCCUUCCCCAGUUUAUCCAAGUACAGCAUCCCCACCCAGGGAAGAGAAAUCAGUCCCGUCAGAAAGCACUGCUCACGCAAACCAGGCGAUUUUCUGAAAUGCCAACGAUCACUGACGGGGAGUCUCGCCAGCAGGAGGUGUGGGAGAAGGCUCUCCCUCUGGAUGCAAACACUAAAGUUGCCAGCCUGAACUUUGCUGGGCUCUUCUCGUGACCCAAUUGUACCUGCCAUGCAGGAAAGCCCCAGGCAAAGCACGAAGGUUACGGGAAGCUGCGCUGCAAAACCAGACUGAAUGCAGCCCACGAGCCACCCCGGCUCCGUUUGGGGCGCAGAUCCCAGGGACGAGACUGGAAAGCCAGUCUUGAAGAACGACUGUGAACCAGUUACACACAGGGCCACACGGCGCCAGACACUUUGCUGGCUCUCAUGGAGAUGGCUUAAAGCAUGCUUGCAUUUUGCGCUGAGUACCAAGGCGGAUUACAAGAGCCACGCAGCAGAAACCGUAUUGCUCACUGGAGGAAGUAAACAGCUGUAGCAUCACAGCCAACAUCUGGAUCUUUUUAUACGCGCUUGGCAGAUGUGCUGUGGAAUAACUGUGGCAACAGUUCAGGAUGCGGCUAGGAGUCUUAUGAUUCUGUGCUGUGUCUCUGGACACAAGCACAGCCCACUAAGGAAGCUCCACGCGGUGGAAUUACAUGUAAACACGCGUUUCUCAGAAAUGGUUAAACCCCUUGCGUUGUGGCCUGCACUGUUUUCCAGACAGUUUGGGUCUGCUUGGUAAUUCCACAUUUCAGCCACUGGUUUGGCCCUCUGGCUUCUCAACAGUGACAAUUACAUCUCACCUCCUGCUCCCAGUGUCCAAAAUUGACAGGUUUGCUCCCAGCCACCAUAGCACCACUCUGUCUGUAUCAUACAUGCAUAAGACUGGCCUAAAUUGAUCUAAGACGCGACAGAAAUAGCUUUCUCUGAGAAAAGCAGUGAAGCGAGUCUUCAGACGCUCACAGCAGUGCAGAGGAAGGGGGACAGAGAAAAGUAUUUACAGUAAGAAACGCUUUCAUUUCCUUCUGUGCUGCCGAGAUGACAUGAAGAAAAUCUCUCUCAAAUACGACGGCAAGACUGGGGCUAACCAUCUGCCUCGGAUGUGCACGUUCAACCUCAUCUCACCUUCAUGCUUGAAGGGCAAGCUGGUAGGGCUUAGGGCUGCGGUGCCAUGGUGGAGACACAAGACAGAACAGACGGCAUGUGCAGGGUCACUUCAAAACAGUACCCCAAUACGUCCAGAAUCUCUCAAAAACAACCAAAUGCAGAAGGGGUGUGCGUACAGCCAAAUCCAGCAAAAGUUCACCUUCUCCUCCAGCCGACGACAGCUGCCUUGCAGAGCUCAUUUACAGAUUUGCAGUAAAAACGAAGAAAAAUACAGCCUUUAUGCUGGAGCUUUACCGUUACAGAAGUGACUCUGCAUGACUGUGACAUUGCGGUGUCCUGUGUUUAGCCUCCCUCUCGGUGACUCCAGGGCAAAUGAGUACAUUUAUGAGUUCAAUAUUUCUGACUGCAAGUGCCCCAUACAUCACACGGUAUAUGAAGUCCCAUUAGCUCCUUCUGUCCCUCACAUCCUCGCUAGCUGAAAAAAAUUAAAUAAAUAAAAAAGAAAUCACAGCCAGGAUAAAGAUCACAGCAGCACAUGCACAAUCUGUGUUGUCAUCAUUCAGAAGUCUCCUCUUAAGAGCAAGCCUCUCAAAUUUCAUAUAUAAUGAAUUUUUUAGAUGAGAUUAGGCACUAAUUUCUAUCAGCUAAUGAAUGCUCACAACACCCUCGGCUCGCCAGAGGGUUCACUUCCCCUUUUUAUAUAAAGGCGCAUAAGGUUUUGUUCGAAUCUUGCAACAAAAAACACCUUGUGAGGCUUAACAGAAACCACAAGAAGAAGGGAGGAAAAAAACCCAAACGAGCAGACAAAAGACAAGAACUUGUAGUUGGAAGAUGGACUAGUAUUUUAUUUUUUUUUUUACUUAGUGAGCUGCAAACUCCCAGGGCCACUUUGUCCUUUCAGCCAUUGACGGCACCGUGAAAGGAGAACAGAGAUCCAUUCCUUACAUGACACGAGGUAUUGAUGGAGCACGGGAGACUGGGAAACCCCAGCUAGCAAGUAAAGCAGCACAUAAACUGUGAAGUAGCAUGAAGAAAUUUGUACGCACUAACCCUGCACAUCUUCCUUUCAAAAGGCUGCCAGAGAGCUAUGCUUGAACUCGAACUCCUGAUCAAAGAAAUCGCAAUAGCGAGCAAAAGCCAGCACAGAUGAGCACAGAAAGGUGCGUGCUUACACGGCGAUGAAGACACUGUCAUGCACUUUGUUUCUCUAACAGCCAAGCUGUGAAAUUACACCAACUCACAACUUAUUUAGGAAUUGGACACAUGUAAUCAAGAUACUCCCGUAGAUCACGUUCAAAGCAAGUGACUUUUGGAUAAAAUAGGCUGUAGUGGCGUAUCGAGAAGAGUGACCAUGACCUCUGGUCAUAGACAAACACCCUCUUGUGUCAGUGACUCUACAGACCCACGUGGGGCUGUAAAAUGUAAAUAAACCUGCAGAAUCCCAGCCACAGACAGUGAGGAACAUGGACGUACCUAGGUUUUCCCAGGCAGCCCCAAAGCACAGGCCUGCCAAAUAGCCUAUGGUCUCCAUGAGACCUGCUCCACCAGCCCUUGUGCCAAACGCUGCCCUGCACCACUUGUGCUCCACACGCGCUGCUGCUUGGGACCCGCCACCCUGAGCAGACCACGACCUCUGGCCAGCUGCAGCCAGGUUACGUGGUCCUGGAGGGGCAGAGACACCAAAAGGCUGUGUUGCAGCUGUGGAGAGAUUCCAUUUUACCAACAGCAGCCCAUUCUCCAAGCUGAGCCGUGCCGCAGGCACGUGCCGCUCACUGCAAUGGACGCGCACCGUGGUGGCUGCCAGCGGGUCCGACAGACCAGAGACUCUUGCCCACCGCACGGACCACAGCAGAGAGGUCUUAGGAAAGCAGACAGGCCAGACACAAGCCACUGAUAUUCCCCCCCACCUCCUGAAACUGCCCAUUUGCCACACUUUCCGCAGAAAGUUGCACCUGGGGAAUUUCUUCUGACCAGCUCUCAUUUGGAUGCUGAAUAAAGCAAAUCAGGAGGAGAGAAGGAAAAUGGACUUGCAUUCUCAUUCCUCCUGUCUCUGCCCCAGAGACAACUUGGAGGUGAUCCCCCUUUCAGCUCAAUCCAUGCAACUUCCACGGGGCUGGUCCUCUGCCGAGACAUCACCCAGCCCUGCACGGAACCCCGCAGCCAGCGACCAGCUACGCAGCGUGAGGUUUAAUCAGAGGGCACUGUGGGGAAAGGAGAGCGAAGGAGGCACAUUGCCACACCGGUUUUCCAGCUUCCACUACAAAAAGACCAUUAGAAAGACUGUUCUGAGUCAGAUUAAAAGUUCACUUCGGCCAUCAGCCUGUCUGCAAACACAGCUGAAGCCAGAUCCUCAACUAGAGAUGCUGUCUCUAUUAAAGUAGCCCACGAAUUACAAAGAGCAUGUUGCAGAAACAUGCUGAGAUCAGGAAUUGCUGCAGAAAGGCUCUGUGCCUAAUUACGGACCAGGUACACGUGAUUUCUCCAGCCUGUAGUACCUCCAGGGAAGGAACAGUCCGACACACUGAGCUGGGGGCUGCCUGCAAGAGUCAGGGCCAGAACUUCUGGAUCUCUGGGGAUGCUCCCGUGGGGACUGUCAGACCUCCGGUGACAGGGGCCCAGGGAAUGCUCUCUCUUCCUCAGAGUAUCCGUGGAUAUUUUGAGCUUUCUCUUGCCAAGAGAUGGAAGGAACAUCCAAGAUCCUGCAGCCACAGAUGAGGACUUUGUUGCAUUGGGGGCUUAGCAGCAGCGCUCAUAAAAGGCAAAGCUGUAUGGCUACAUGCUCCAAUGCACAAAGAGGAACCUGGGAGACCUCUUAGCAGCAGGUCUGCUGUGCUUCACACACCCCUCUGGCGAGACACAUACCACUGGCCCUUGCCUCAGGCUCCCUGCCACAGCCUUUGCUUUUGCGGUGGGAUGCUGAGGUUAUCUGGGACCCGCCAAUGCAGAUGCCACUGCUCUGUCUAAAAUGUAUGGUCCAAGUAAGAGCGCGCGGCAGGGACGACCCUGAAGGGGCAGAGAUGAUAAGACUCUGCAUAGCACCCAAGAGCAAACAGAGGAUCUGAACUGCAGAAACCCUCUGCUCAAAAUAACCCAAGUUGAAAAACUCACAGUAGCAGCCUGAUUUCAUGCCCACAGCGCUCUGGGAGAGCCCACCUCUGCUGCCCUGUAACACACAGAAGAGCGGUCCCACGCCUUCAGAAUACGUAAAGGAGAAAUUGGGGAGAGAUCUUCCUCAGCUCCCAAUUCUGACAAGUUAAAAAUCCAUGUGUUUGUCACAGAUCCCACAACACAUACACAAGCUCCCCUCUCCCAGCUCCCUCUCAGACACCAAACAAGAUCAGCCAGGAUUACAGAAGCUUAUUUGGAUUUCUACACAAUAACAAGUUGCUGUCACCCUCAGGCCUUCUCUUCUUCCUCUUGCCAUAUGUGUUGGUGCUUCUCUCUCUACUCCUGCCACAAGACAGCUCAGGCUGAAUGUGAUGAAUUCACCCCCAACUCCACUGCCACUGAGCAGCUAUGAGGGGAGAGACCCAGGCAGGUCCACCAAAAACCAGAGACAUGGAAGAGGAACCGUGUCAACACUGCCACCUCAUCUCAGUGCUCACCUACCGCCUCACCGCCCAGUGAGACGAAGAACACAAGCAUCCCAGCUGUCCAGGUCAAGCACACCAGUCACACACCCCUGACAUAGCUCUUCUAGGCUGGCCCACAAUGGCAAGAGAACAAGAUGACUCCAUAUCUGGAAUAACUGCUAGAAACUACAGAAUCUAAAUUGUGUAAAUUUAAAUUUUAGCACCACUGCAUGCGGGGUGAAAUGCUUUG